This 190-nucleotide ribosomal RNA is filed under the name Gammaproteobacteria bacterium. RNAcentral describes it as "partial 23S ribosomal RNA". It matches the Rfam family "Bacterial large subunit ribosomal RNA", at positions 2741 to 2925 of the family's 2925-position model. The record is from RNAcentral. Lineage: Bacteria; Pseudomonadati; Pseudomonadota; Gammaproteobacteria.
CCGGGUAGCUACGUACGGACGGGAUAACCGCUGAAAGCAUCUAAGCGGGAAGCCCCCCUCGAGAUGAGUUCUCCCCAGAGCUUUAAGCUCUCUGAAGGGCCCUCGUAGACUACGAGGUUGAUAGGCUGGGUGUGGAAGUGCAGUAAUGCAUGAAGCUAACCAGUACUAAUUGCCCGUGAGGCUUGACCAU